This 254-nucleotide ribosomal RNA is filed under the name uncultured bacterium. RNAcentral's name for it is "partial 16S ribosomal RNA". It matches the Rfam family "Bacterial small subunit ribosomal RNA", at positions 524 to 776 of the family's 1533-position model. The record is from RNAcentral.
CACGUAGGGGGCGAGCGUUGUCCGGAUUUAUUGGGCGUAAAGAGCUCGUAGGCGGUUUCGUAAGUCGGAUGUGAAAACUCCAGGCUCAACUUGGAGACGCCAUUCGAUACUGCGAUGACUUGAGUCCGGUAGGGGAGUGUGGAAUUCCUGGUGUAGCGGUGAAAUGCGCAGAUAUCGGAAGGAACACCAGUGGCGAAGGCGGCUUUCUGGCCUGUUCUUGACGCUGAGGCGCGAAAGCCAGGGGAGCAAACGGG